CUCCUCGGGGUCCCUGAAGAUGAAGAAUUCUGGGGAUCCUUUCCUGAGCCUGGAGCCCCUGGGCCCCUUCCAGAGCCCUCCCAGUGUGCAGGUGGGUUUCCUGCAGCAGCCGGGGAGCCUGGAGCCCCUCCUGGGCCGUUCUUUGUUCUCCACGCAGCCCCUCGAGGCCAAUGGCAGCUGGCCGGACGCCGCCACCCCCUCGUCCAUCACCGACCCGGGCAGCGACGCCUCCAAUUAAAGAAUUCAAACUUCUUUAAUUUUUAAUUCAAGGACCUUUUUGAGAGAGGACAGAGGUCAAUUAACGCUAAUUAAUCCCGGGCCGAUAGAAUGAUUGACUUCCAAUUAAUGAAUUACCUCAGAACGAGCCAAUAGAUUGUGAUGGCAGCCACACCUCUACCUCUCAAUUAUUUAUAACUUCACUUCGCCUCAGAAAAUUCCAUGUUUUUAAGGAAAAACUUUGGAUUUUACACAAAGAACCUGAAGAAGAAGGGGAAAAACAAAAGUCUUGGCGUUUUUCUCCAGUUUUACAGUGGAAAAAAAUGGAUUUAUUUUAUUUUUUGUCUGGUUUUUUACGCUGGGAUUUUGGUUCUAGGUGAGUUAAACCCCUCCUAUUGUAAUUGGAUGUUCUCUGUAUUGGAAUUUUCUACAGGGAAUUUCUGUAGGAAAUUCUAGAGAGAAUUCUAUAAGAAAUUUUUCUUAAUUAAUUGAGCCAAUUAAUGGAAAAGUCGCUUCACCAAACUUCUCACUGGACAUUGCUCGCAGGCCGGACCUUCCACUGGUGUCAUUCCAAGGGAUUUCAGAUUGGGAAAUUCCACAGCAUCACUUUUUCUGAUGGAAAAAGUGCAAAAAUAAAAUUAAAACCCCAAAUUUACCACAAAACGGCCAAACCACGGGAUUUCCCUAUGGGAAUUCGAGGGGGUUUGUGCCGUUCUGGUGCUGCUCUCAGAGUCCGCCCCUUUCAGGUGAGAUUUCAUCCAAGAAAAUAAAUUUCCAAAGCCUU
Non-coding RNA from Agelaius phoeniceus (red-winged blackbird), 1000 nucleotides. Lineage: Eukaryota; Metazoa; Chordata; Aves; Passeriformes; Icteridae. The record is from RefSeq and is a predicted model, not a curated record.